Molecule: long non-coding RNA, 570 nt
Organism: Clupea harengus (Atlantic herring)
Lineage: Eukaryota; Metazoa; Chordata; Actinopteri; Clupeiformes; Clupeidae
Source: Ensembl
UGUGUUCUGAGUUCGUCCUGGUGUGUGAUCUGAGUUCAUCCUGGUGUGAGGUCAAGGGGUCAGGGGUCGUCCUGGUGUGAGGUCAGGGGUCGUCCUGGUGUGAGGUCAGGGGUCCUAGUGUGUGAUGCAUGUUGGGAUGCAGGGAGCACUGAUGGGCGUUAGGUCAAAGGUCAGACAUGAAUGUGACUUGAUGAGAGGUCCCAGUCUGCAGACAUUAAACUUGUUCAAGGUGAACAAGGUUAAAAGGUCAAAGGUGACUAGAAGGUUAAAAAGUUAAAGGUGACUAGAAGGUUAAAAGGUUCAAGGUAACUAGAAGGUUUAAAGGUCAAAGGUGACUAGAAGGUUAUUGAAGAGGGACACUAACCCUACACCUCUGUUGUAAAGCUGGUCAGUGGAUUUAUGUAACAUAACAGAAGAGUUCAUCAGUAGUGUGUGUAUGUGUGAGUGAGUGUGUGUGUGUGUGGGGGGGUAAAGCUGAGAGAGUGUGUGUGUCAGGGAUUAAAGUAUUCCGGCACCGUGCCGGAUUUCCGGCGUCCGGCGUUUGGCUGCGAAAAAAAAUCUUAUAAAAAA